AUUCCCCCUGAAACCCCUAAAUUUUCCUCCCUAAAAUUGGUAUCCUCAAAACACCUAAGUGUUUCUCUCUGCCACCACCGUCUUCAUCAUCAUCUUCCCCUCUCUCCCUCUUUUUGCAUACAUCUCAGAAGAGCUCAUACUUUAUCUGUUUCUCAUAUUUUUUUAUCAUUAUAUUUCAAAUGAAAUAUUAUUUUUUUCCCUCUUCUUUUUUCGAUUCCCCCCAUCCCCAGAAAUCUCCCUAAAUCGAUUCCCCAGAAAUCUCUUUUCUUUUUUCCCCAUUUUAUUUUUCCCAAACCAUUUCUCCCCUACCCCGAUUCCUUUUAUUUUCCCCCCAAUUUCCCAAAAUCGACAGCCCUCUGCAUCUCCUCAAAGGGUUGUAGCAGAAGGAGGUCUCGAACUAGCAGGUCAAGUGGUACAGAUUCAUGGAGACCUUACGGAUGAUAACUACCAGACAUUGGAUCAGGCUGUUUGUGUUUUAUUUUAUUUUUGUUCUAAGAUCUAUUAAAUCUAACUUAAUUUUCACGCAUUCUGUUGUGCAAGUAGAUCAUUCUUCUCUUAUGUAGAAGCCAUUCAUUAGUAUAUUUCAAGGCUGCCAGAUUCAUUCCAGGUAAAGUUUUCAUGAAGCAAAUUUUUAGAUCUACCCGUAAAUAGAGUAUAUAUGUCCACAUUUUGUUCAUGGUUCACAACUUGCUUAGUAUUUCAGUUUGUGGAACAAUUGUUGUUACUCCCGUAGAAAAGUUUGGGUGUUUAAUGAUUUUACAGAUGUUAUGUAUAAUGAAGAUUUUAUAGCCUUCUUGACGGGGUGCACAUGUUUAUACCUUCGCUUUCACUGUUCUAAUCUUGGAGACAGAACGCAUUUUUCUCGUUUUUUCUCUCUUGAUUUUUGCUUUUAUUAGCUGCUGAAGUGAACCAUCUUUUGGAAUCUGUGGUUGUCUUAGGUACUGGUCCUUUUGAAAUUUAGUACAGUGCUUUAUUUUGUUACUGCUGAGGUUGUGGCAGGACGAACAGCAUGGUUGGGUCGAGGUCUUUCUUGUGUAUGUGCUCAAAGCAGAGAGAGUGAUGCUUGUCCAUCAUUUGAUUUAACUCCUUCCCAGCUGAAAAAGGCUUUUACAUUAAUCACCCUUGAAGUUACUUUUCUAUAGAAAAGAAAAGAAAAGACUAGCGAUGGAGAACUCAAGUUCCAGCAGUGAAUUGCAGAAGCUCAUAGAAGCCAUAAAAAUUUCAGAGGUGGUAGAAGGUCAGAGGGAACUGAUUGCCAAAUUAGCAGAUUUACAUUUAUCUAAGCAAUCUGAUGUGAAAUCUCUUGGUUUGCGACUUGUAUUGCGGCGGCGGAGCUGAUGCAGAAAAAUAUUCUCUAAGUUAUUUAUUUGUGAAAAGAGAGAAAAAUAUUCUGGAUAAUUUGGAAACCCUAUUGCAAGAGAAGGACAUUCAGGCUGAUCUAGUCUGUUGCUUGCAGCAUUUGCAGUUAAGAUUUGAAACUGAAGACAAAGCAAAGGAGACUUCUAAGUAAUGUGUCAUUUUUGUUGAAACCUGGGGGUUAUUUUUUCCGUAUUACUCCUGAAAAAGUGAUUGUCAAAAACUGUUGUUUCUGGAUUUGUGUAUUUUCCUUUUUUUUCUUGUGGUUACUGCAGCACCUGUUUCUGGGAGGUGAUUGUGUAAACAUUUUAGUGUGCUUUAGUUAUUGUAAGAAUAUUUUUAACAUUGUUAAUUUUAAUAUUAUUGUAAGAAUAUUCUGAAUUAUAAUUGAGUUAUCAAUUUAUAUCAUAUAUCUUUCAUUGAA
Molecule: RNA transcript, 1780 nt
Organism: Gossypium raimondii (Peruvian cotton)
Lineage: Eukaryota; Viridiplantae; Streptophyta; Magnoliopsida; Malvales; Malvaceae
Gene name: mRNA cap guanine-N7 methyltransferase 2-like
Exons: 7
Source: RefSeq, a predicted model, not a curated record